UGGGGAAUCUUCCGCAAUGGACGAAAGUCUGACGGAGCAACGCCGCGUGAGUGAAGAAGGUUUUCGGAUCGUAAAACUCUGUCUUUUGGGGCGAACGUGAGUAUGGUGAACAAUCAUAGUCAGUGACGGUACCAAAGGAGGAAGCCACGGCUAACUACGUGCCAGCAGCCGCGGUAAUACGUAGGUGGCAAGCGUUGUCCGGAAUUAUUGGGCGUAAAGAGCGCGUAGGCGGGAUAGUCAGUCUGUUGUAAAAGUGCGGGGCUCAACCCCGUGAUGGCAAUGGAAACAGCUAUCCUUGAGUGCAGGAGAGGAAAGUGGAAUUCCCAGUGUAGCGGUGAAAUGCGUAGAUAUUGGGAGGAACACCAGUGGCGAAGGCGACUUUCUGGACUGUGUCUGACGCUGAGGCGCGAAAGCCAGGGGAGCGAACGGGAUUAGAUACCCCGGUAGUCCUGGCCGUAAACGAUGGGUACUAGGUGUGGGAGGUAUCGACCCCUUCCGUGCCGGAGUUAACGCAAUAAGUACCCCGCCUGGGGAGUACGGUCGCAAGACUGAAACUCAAAUGAAUUGACGGGGUCAUAGCUGUUUCC
RNAcentral lists this ribosomal RNA (587 nucleotides) under uncultured bacterium. Its description in RNAcentral is "partial 16S ribosomal RNA". It matches the Rfam family "Bacterial small subunit ribosomal RNA", at positions 355 to 937 of the family's 1533-position model. The record is from RNAcentral.